This 492-nucleotide ribosomal RNA is filed under the name uncultured bacterium. RNAcentral describes it as "partial 16S ribosomal RNA". It matches the Rfam family "Bacterial small subunit ribosomal RNA", at positions 29 to 507 of the family's 1533-position model. The record is from RNAcentral.
AGUGAACGCUGGCGGUAGGCCUAACACAUGCAAGUCGAACGGCAGCACAGUAAGAGCUUGCUCUUACGGGUGGCGAGUGGCGGACGGGUGAGGAAUACAUCGGAAUCUACUUUUUCGUGGGGGAUAACGUAGGGAAACUUACGCUAAUACCGCAUACGACCUACGGGUGAAAGCAGGGGAUCUUCGGACCUUGCGCGAUUGAAUGAGCCGAUGUCGGAUUAGCUAGUUGGCGGGGUAAAGGCCCACCAAGGCGACGAUCCGUAGCUGGUCUGAGAGGAUGAUCAGCCACACUGGAACUGAGACACGGUCCAGACUCCUACGGGAGGCAGCAGUAGGGAAUAUUGCACAAUGGGCGAAAGCCUGAUCCAGCCAUACCGCGUGAGUGAAGAAGGCCUUCGGGUUGUAAAGCCCUUUUGUUAGGGAAGAAAAGCAGCAGGUUAAUACCCCGCUGUUCUGACGGUACCCAAAGAAUAAGCACCGGCUAACUUCGUG